AGAGUUUGAUCCUGGCUCAGAGCGAACGCUGGCGGCAGGCCUAACACAUGCAAGUCGAGCGCCGUAGCAAUACGGAGCGGCAGACGGGAGAGUAACACGUGGGAACGUGCCCUUCAGUUCGGAACAACCCAGGGAAACUUGGGCUAAUACCGGAUACGUCCGUAAGGAGAAAGAUUUAUCGCUGAAGGAUCGGCCCGCGUCUGAUUAGCUUGUUGGUGAGGUAACGGCUCACCAAGGCGACGAUCAGUAGCUGGUCUGAGAGGAUGAUCAGCCUCACUGGGACUGAGACACGGCCCAGACUCCUACGGGAGGCAGCAGUGGGGAAUAUUGGACAAUGGGCGCAAGCCUGAUCCAGCCAUGCCGCGUGGGUGAUGAAGGCCUUAGGGUUGUAAAGCCCUUUCGGCGGGGAAGAUAAUGACGGUACCCGCAGAAGAAGCCCCGGCUAACUUCGUGCCAGCAGCCGCGGUAAUACGAAGGGGGCUAGCGUUGCUCGGAAUCAC
RNAcentral lists this ribosomal RNA (500 nucleotides) under uncultured bacterium. Its description in RNAcentral is "bacterial SSU rRNA". It matches the Rfam family "Bacterial small subunit ribosomal RNA", at positions 8 to 554 of the family's 1533-position model. The record is from RNAcentral.